GAGGAAGGAUCUCUUUCUGGAGAUUCCUCCUUUUGGUGUUUUCUACUAUGAGUCUACGCCAUGGAGGAGGUAGAACAAAUGUAUUUUUCAAGUACCCAAGACCAGGAACUCAUUUUUGCAGAAUAGUUAAGUUUGUGCUACAGACUACCAGAUUAGUUAUUAUUUACUGGCUGGCAGAGCAGGAACACAGCAUGUUUGGAAACAUAACAGAAAAACAGGGAGCUUUUGCAGGAGCAAAGUAACCAUCUCCAACAUCCCCAGGAAAGAUCUACAUAAGAGGUGAGGAUCUCAGUGAAACUGUAUUCAGCUGUUGGUGCUGGUAGAGAUCUGUUCUUGAUCUCAUAAUAUGCCUCAUUCUACCACAUUGUAUUGAACCCUGUGAGCUGUCAACCUACUGCAGAACUAACCACCAAAGGAAUCUGAGUGGUCUUUCUGAUGUGUCAGGUUUUGUUGUCCUUUUCCUUCAAAUAUCAAUCUUUAAGAAUGUCAGUCUCUCAGGAGAAAAGCUGUUUAAUA
This is a long non-coding RNA of Phasianus colchicus (ring-necked pheasant), 516 nucleotides long. RefSeq lists it as uncharacterized. Lineage: Eukaryota; Metazoa; Chordata; Aves; Galliformes; Phasianidae. The record is from RefSeq and is a predicted model, not a curated record.